Long non-coding RNA from Triticum aestivum (bread wheat), 1227 nucleotides. RefSeq lists it as uncharacterized. The record is from RefSeq and is a predicted model, not a curated record. The transcript has 5 exons. Lineage: Eukaryota; Viridiplantae; Streptophyta; Magnoliopsida; Poales; Poaceae.
CAAGAUACUUGUUUUACACUCCUAUCCCACGAUUGCAGUGAUCACGGCCGGGAGAUUGGGGAUCGCCGGCUGGGCGUCCCGCCGGUUCGAGCUCGGAUCCACAACAUCAACCAGCCCCGCGAGCACUCCUCCCUAUUCUCCCCCUGAUUUGCAGCGACCGGCGACGGCGGAUUGAAGGAGGCCGCCCCACCAGCGGAGCUCGGAUCCACCGCAUCAACCCGCGCGCGAGCCUUUCCCCACCGAUUACAGCGACCGACGAUGACUCUCAGAUCACCAGGAUACAACGAAGGGAUUUGGGGGAGAAAAGCACCGAGGCGAGGUAGACGAAAGAGAGAAGCUUCAGUUGCUAAAAUAAUGCCACCACUUCCGGAGAGUGAGAGGGAAACAAGGGCAUAUCUUGCGGAAAGGAAAUGCAAGAGUGAGGCAUAUUUGAAGGGAUGCAAGGAUGCGGAGCAGCAACCUCUUAGAGACAUACACAGCAUAGCUCGUAGACUUUUAUACCCUACUGCCUCUAAUGCGCAACCGACACAAAAUGCAGGAGGUGCCGGCGAUCGCAGUGUCUCGGAGUAUGAACCAGAUGCUGAAGAGGAGGCCCAUUUUGCAGAAGAAGCUUUGAGAGAUGAAGAGGAAGUUGCUCUUGCUAUGUCCAAAGAAAUGCACCUUCCUUUCUAGCAUGGGUUAUGCAUCAAUAUCCGGGAGAUCUGGGACCUCUACUUCGUCAGCACAGAUCUGAGAAGAAAGAAUUGAACAGAAGGAUAGAGAGGCGAGAGAUGCAAGUAACAGGCACUGAGAGGAGUUAGCCGCGAGGCUUGAAGCACAAGUGGCAACAUUUGAAGAGAUGUAGAGGAAGCAACAUGAAGAAUUGCAAGCUGUGAAGAAAAGACAACAGAAGAAGAAUGAAGCCUGGCAAAAGAAGCAACAGGAGACGGAUAACCUGAUUGGUUUUCUCUUAAAGGCUCAAGCAAGUCAACAAGCAACUUAGCAGUCCCAGUCCAAACCUGACGGUGCAUGAAGGCCAUCCUUUUGUGAUGGAAAGAUAGUUGGCGAAUCAUAUGUUGUAAUCAUCAAGACAACACAUGUGGUCUUUAGUUAUUUAAAUAUUGCCUUUUUAACAUGUCUAUUGUAGUGUCAAACUAGGGAACAGUGUUCCUUUUUAUUGUCAUUUCUAUUUAGAGGAUGACUUGGCUGAGACGGUUGAUCAUAUGAUAUGAUUUGUCGUUCAUUCAA